UAAUGUUCAAUGGACGCGAGUCUGAACCAGCCAAGCAGCGUGAAGGAUGACUGCCCUAUGGGUUGUAAACUUCUUUUAUAUGGGAAUACAGUUUUCCACGUGCGGAAUUUUGUAUGUAUCAUAUGAAUAAGGAUCGGCUAACUCCGUGCCAGCAGCCGCGGUAAUACGGAGGAUCCGAGCGUUAUCCGGAUUUAUUGGGUUUAAAGGGAGCGUAGGUGGACAGUUAAGUCAGUUGUGAAAGUUUGCGGCUCAACCGUAAAAUUGCAGUUGAGACUGGCUGUCUUGAGUACAGUAGAGGUGGGCGGAAUUCGUGGUGUAGCGGUGAAAUGCUUAGAUAUCACGAAGAACUCCGAUUGCGAAGGCAGCUCACUAGACUGCAACUGACACUGAUGCUCGAAAGUGUGGGUAUCAAAC
RNAcentral lists this ribosomal RNA (414 nucleotides) under uncultured bacterium. Its description in RNAcentral is "bacterial SSU rRNA". It matches the Rfam family "Bacterial small subunit ribosomal RNA", at positions 359 to 773 of the family's 1533-position model. The record is from RNAcentral.